This 393-nucleotide ribosomal RNA is filed under the name uncultured bacterium. Its description in RNAcentral is "partial 16S ribosomal RNA". It matches the Rfam family "Bacterial small subunit ribosomal RNA", at positions 523 to 918 of the family's 1533-position model. The record is from RNAcentral.
AUACGGAGGAUCCGAGCGUUAUCCGGAUUUAUCGGGUUUAAAGGGUGCGCAGGCGGGAGAUUAAGUCGGCGGUGAAAUUUUGCAGCUCAACUGUAAAAGUGCCUUCGAAACUGGUUUCCUUGAGUGUAGAUGAAGGAGGCGGAAUUUGUGGUGUAGCGGUGAAAUGCAUAGAUAUCACGAGGAACUCCGAUUGCGCAGGCAGCUUACUAAACUACUACUGACGCUCAGGCACGAAGGCGUGGGGAUCAAACAGGAUUAGAUACCCUGGUAGUCCACGCAGUAAACGAUGAUUACUAGCUGUUUGCGAUACAAUGUAAGCGGCUGAGCGAAAGCGUUAAGUAAUCCACCUGGGGAGUACGUUCGCAAGAAUGAAACUCAAAUGAAUUGACGGGG